UCUCCAGGUAACGCUGCCGGUUCCAGGAAUAGAGCUGCUAUGCGCCUUCUGAAGUCCGUGAAAUAUUGCGCAAUCAGGUGGUUCGAUAAAGCUUAUUCCCGGGCAGUAUACUUGCCCGGUCGAAAUGGGAAAUUGAAUGUCCCGGCAUUUUUCACGGAAUAUUCUCAAUAUUACAACUCUCGUUAUCCGCUCAGAACUUAUUAACUUCGAAUACACCUGUAUUCUCCCGAACAAGGAUAAUUUUUGAUGAUUUAUUAUUUCCAUUUAAGUGAUAAAGAAGUGAAGAUUCCACAUACAAAAAUUGUCAUGUUAUAUUCAACAAGUUGGGAGUUGAUAGGUGGGGCCAAGACAUUUUACUAUAACAUUGUGUGCAUCAAGUCAUAAUCCUGAUGAGAGUGAACUGGAGCAGAGAAAUUCUUCAUUCACACUCUCAACAUCUGAAUGUGAAAAUCAAGCAAGCAAGGUGGAGUUCCUUGAACCGAAUACGGAUAAAAUGCCCACUAAGAAGAGGCAUCAGAACCUGAAAUAGCAGGACAUAUUUUGAAACGGAUGAUGAAAGUACAAAGCAGGCAAAAAUUCGAACCAAGUUUAAGAACAUUUGCUCUGACACUGGCUUUUUAUUCUCCUAAAUCUUAUAAUUAUGCAAGGAGAACGUUCAAUGGGAGUUUUCCACAUUUGGGAACAAUUUCUUAAUGGUAUCAAGUUGUCGAUGGAAGUCCAGUGUUUACUCAACUGAAAGGACUGAGCUAGUUAAGAAAUGUCUAAAAUUUAUCUGUGAAAGUGGAAUUAUUAUAACUUCCCUUACUUUUGAUGGCACCGCAACAAAUAUCUCUAUGGCAGAGAAAUUGGAUGUGAAUUUCACUCCAUUUUGAAAACUUUUUUUGUGAACCCAAUAUCAAUAAAUAUUCUCAUUUUUUUAGAUUGCUGUCACAUGUUAAAAUUAGUCAGAAAUUGUUUUGCUUCACAAAGUGUCAUAAAAGAUUUUUAUCGAAGAAGCAUAGAGUGGAAUUAUGUUUCUAAAUUAUGAAAUAGUUGAAAUUCAGAAUAAUAAAUAAAAAAAUGAAGGUCAUGGUACCAGGUUGAGCAUCGUUAGGGUGAGCUCUCGAUAGUAUCUGUAAUUAAAGUGGUUAAAUUGACUACAAGAAUUCAGAUCUUAAUGUCAUAGUGUAUAUUUAUCAGAUAAUGGUGAAUGGAAAUAGUACUAAGUAAGUUCAAAAACGAGUCAGAAAACUAGAAGUUAUUCUAAUUCUGUUACAAUUGAUGAGGGCGUGGUGGAACUUCUAACCAAUAAAUGAUUUACAAAAGUGAACCUCAAUAUUGAAGGACAAAUAGACAAAAUAUGUAUAAAGUUCGGUAAAUUGGAUACCAAGAUGGAAAAUAUGAUAAAUUAAAUGUCUUCAGAUAUGAUAUAUAAAUGAAUAAAUAAAGAAGGACUACAUGCAGCAACCAAACUUAGACUGAGGCACUUGCAAUGGUCAAGGGAAAAAAUAAAAGUUCUUUUAGCUACUCGAACAUUGAGUAAAAGUGUCAGUGAUGCUAUAAAGAUUUAAGGGAAGACUUAAACUACCCCGAAUUUGAAGGUUUCUAAGGUAGACAGUAAAUUUUUUCUAGAAUUCAUAACAAAAUGAUAAUAUACAUAUUUGGUCAACAAUUGAAUAAUAUCCCAAUUUCACAAAGCUAGAUAAAAACAGGCUUGAGGAGAAUGUAUAUUGAGUAUGUUAUUGAAGAGAAAUACUUGAAGUAAAUUUCAACUUACAGGCGCUCCCUAGAUCACUCUGAAUUAUAUUUUGCGGUAUCACGAGCAAGGGAGGUUAUAAUAAUAACCCAACUGCCAGGAAACUUGAGACAUCUUACAAAAGGCUACUGAUCCACAAUGAAAUAUAUCAUCAAAUACUGGCAAUGCCAUAAAUUUAGAUAUGGUGACAAUUUUAACUCGUGGGUCAGGAAAAAAAAUCAUUAACGAAUCUGGAGAAAAUUUGGAGGGAAAAGAGGAGUUUUUAGCAUUCAUAAAAAAAACCAGGGAAGAUAUAGAAAAUUAUAACUUCCAUGCUAGCUCAGCAUGGAAUCCAACUAUGUAUGUUGAGGAUGUUGUCGCUUAUAUUUCUGGUUUUGUCACCAGAGGUGUUCUUAAAUGCAUUAAAUGAGCAAAUAUUUUAGUGGGCAAUUUGUCUUUGUCUGCUCUACGGAGGAAUGGUUAUAGGUGUUUGCAGGGCUGCUGAAAAAUAUUUUAUGUUCUAUGACAAAACUACGGGUGUUUUAGAAUCUUAAGUUAGAGAUCCAAUCACGCCUCUGAUGACAAACACCAUGAAAAAUUUUCAUUCGACAACAUUUGAAGUUUUUGGUAAUCAACUGUAUGAUGAUGAUCCCCUGGAGGGUAAUUGCAUGGACCUUGUCAAACUCCUCCUCAAAAACUAUUUUAAACUUCAGAUUCAUUAUGAAACAGUUAAAAACUCAUUCUCUUCAGGAAUGAAUAAAUUUUUGUAUAUAUAUAUAUAUAUAUAUUUAUUUUAUUUGUUUUUUAAUUUUCAUGUAAAAAAAAAUCACGAUUCCAUUAGUGUGAUUUUCUUUAAAUGCCAGAUUGAAUUUUUAGAAUUGUGAAAAUAUUGUUUCAUUUGAGAAUUUUGCAGAGGAAUUAGAGGCUUAUAAUGUUGUUUUCCUUUAUUUUUGCAGGUUUGUUUGUAUACUUAUUGUUGCUUUUGUGAAUGAAUACCUCUAUUUUUGCAGGUUUGUUAUUGUAUUCUGAUUGUUGCUUUUGUGAAUAAAUACCUUUAUUUUUGCAGAGAAGCUCAAUUUAGUCUCAAUUCAAUCAAAAUAGAACUUAUUAUAAAACAAAAUUUUCUGCAUCUACUCGUAUUUCACCAAUCAUGGAAAAACUGAGAUUUGAUUUCGUUGUGAAACCUGCGGCAGAUGAAAAAUCAAAUAUUAUAUGUGUUACUUCAAUAGCAACAGUCAAUGGAAAGGUUUUUGGAGUACCAGAUGAAUAUUAACCAGUAAAUUUGCAUCAGUACCUUAUUAAUACUCCAAAUUAAGUAAAAUAGAAAAAAUCCUUAACAAAGAGAUAUCAAAGAAGAAAAAUAUGGAUAAACUCAACAGGAGAUAAAUCGAAAACGUCUUUAGACGAAGAGAAAAAUUUACAAUUUGAUGAUGCUCAGUGCAAAGUUUGGAAGAACUAUUAGAGAAAUUAAUUGACAAUAAGCCAGCAUAAUUAUAAUCACAUAAAUUAGGACAGAUUGCAAAUGACUUUUAUGAUUUACUGACAAAAAUUUGAAUGCAAACCAAUGGAUUGAAGAUUUCAAUAAAUAAUGUGAUCGUUUUCAAAUCAAUGAGGACAAAAACAAAAUUAUAAUUUUAAAAUAUUUUUUGCAAUAUUCCGGUUCAGAUUGGUACAGUUGCAUGAUGAUUAUAUAUUCGAUAGAAUCAGAAUCGAAUAAAUGGGAGAGAAAUUUUUGUGGAACGUUCACGAAUAGAGGAUGGUCACUGGCUAGGUAUGCUUUAGCUUUCAAAUAUCAAGCAGGUUCUUUGCAAUGAAAAAGCGAAAAAUUAUAGUUAGAAGUGAGAAAAUCAAUUGACACUGGAACACACAUAGCAUGUGGCCGGCCUAAUUAUGUUGUUGACAAAAUUGAUAGGGAAACUCUACAAGGAACCGAAGAUCUUCUCAGUGAGAUUGGGAAAUUAGGAUAUCUGGUUAUAAGAAUAGGAAAUAUGAUAAAGGAUGAAAUAUAAAUUCUGACGAAAGACCUAAACGGAAUGAAGAAAAAAAACCAUGUCGAAUCUGCGUAAUCGAAAAAAAAGGGAAACUUUAUCAUCCUGAGAAAAAUUGUUGGUACUACGAGGAAAAUCACAGAGGAAAUUUGAAGACUCUGAAUAAUACUGUAUUGGAAAUUGAACAAAAUGAGAUUAAUCCGAAAAAACUGGAUGUUCCACCAUUAAAAAAGAUUCUGAUGAACAAGAAGAAGAAAAUA
Harmonia axyridis is the source of this 3962-nucleotide long non-coding RNA. RefSeq lists it as uncharacterized. The transcript has 5 exons. Lineage: Eukaryota; Metazoa; Arthropoda; Insecta; Coleoptera; Coccinellidae. The record is from RefSeq and is a predicted model, not a curated record.